This 446-nucleotide ribosomal RNA is filed under the name uncultured Streptococcus sp. Its description in RNAcentral is "bacterial SSU rRNA". It matches the Rfam family "Bacterial small subunit ribosomal RNA", at positions 933 to 1382 of the family's 1533-position model. Lineage: Bacteria; Bacillati; Bacillota; Bacilli; Lactobacillales; Streptococcaceae. The record is from RNAcentral.
UGGAGCAUGUGGUUAAUUCGAAGCAACGCGAAGUAACCUUACAGGUCUUGACAUCCCGAUGCUAUUUCUAGAGAUAGAAAGUUACUUCGGUACAUCGGUGACAGGUGGGGCAUGGUUGUCGUCAGCUCGUGUCGUGAGAUGUUGGGUUAAGUCCCGCAACGAGCGCAACCCCUAUUGUUAGUUGCCAUCAUUCAGUUGGGCACUCUAGCGAGACUGCCGGUAAUAAACCGGAGGAAGGUGGGAUGACGUCAAAUCAUCAUGCCCCUUAUGACCUGGGCUACACACGUGCUACAAUGGUUGGUACAACGAGUUGCGAGUCGGUGACGGCGAGCUAAUCUCUUAAAGCCAAUCUCAGUUCGGAUUGUAGGCUGCAACUCGCCUACAUGAAGUCGGAAUCGCUAGUAAUCGCGGAUCAGCACGCCGCGGUGAAUACGUUCCCGGGCCUU